This 330-nucleotide unclassified non-coding RNA is filed under the name soil metagenome. RNAcentral describes it as "partial contains 5.8S ribosomal RNA, internal transcribed spacer 2, and large subunit ribosomal RNA". The stretch from base 3 to 121 matches the Rfam family "5.8S ribosomal RNA", at positions 36 to 154 of the family's 154-position model. The record is from RNAcentral.
GAAUGAAGAACGCAGCGAAAUGCGAUACGUAAUGUGAAUUGCAGAAUUCAGUGAAUCAUCGAAUCUUUGAAGGCACAUUGCGCCCCUUGGUAUUCCGAGGGGCAUGCCUGUUCGAGCGUCAUUAUAACCCCUCAAGCUCAGCUUGGUGUUGGGGCCUGCUGCACUGGCAGCCCUUAAAAUCAGUGGCGGCGCCAUCUGGCUCUAAGCGUAGUAAUUCUUCUCGCUAUGGAGUCCUGGUGGAUGCUUGCCAUCAACCCCCAAUUUUUCUAUGGUUGACCUCGGAUCAGGUAGGGAUACCCGCUGAACUUAAGCAUAUCAAUAAGCGGAGGA